UGCCAGCCACCGCGGUAACACGGGGGGCGCAAGCGUUAUUCGGAAUUAUUGGGCGUAAAGGGCGCGCAGGCGGUCUUAUCAGUCAGAUGUGAAAGCCCGGGGCUCAACCCCGGACGUGCAUUUGAAACAGUAAGACUUGAGUACGGGAGAGGAAAGCGGAAUUCCUGGUGUAGAGGUGAAAUUCGUAGAUAUCAGGAGGAACACCGGUGGCGAAGGCGGCUUUCUGGACCGAUACUGACGCUGAGGUGGGAAGGCGUGGGGAGCUAACAGGAUUAGAUA
This 279-nucleotide ribosomal RNA is filed under the name uncultured bacterium. RNAcentral's name for it is "partial 16S ribosomal RNA". It matches the Rfam family "Bacterial small subunit ribosomal RNA", at positions 506 to 784 of the family's 1533-position model. The record is from RNAcentral.